AUGAAGAUGGCGACUUGCAUUCGUAAGGUGGCCUCGAAGGAGUUUGGAGUGUCCAGGGGAAGGAGAAGCGAAGAUAAGGAUACCUGGUGGUGGAAUGAUGAUGUCCAGAAGGCGCUUAAAGAGAAGAAAGAUUGCUUCAGACGCCUAUACCUAGAUAGGAGUGCAGACAACAUAGAGAAGUACAAGAUGGCGAAGAAGGCCGCAAAGCGAGCUGUUGGUGAAGCAAGGGGUCGGGCAUAUGAGGACCUCUACCAACGGUUAGGCACGAAGGAAGGUGAAAGGGACAUCUAUAAGAUGGCUAAGAUCCGGGAGAGGAAGACGAGGGAUAUUGGCCAAGUCAAAUGCAUCAAGGACGGAGCAGGCCAACUCUUGGUGAAGGACGAAGAGAUUAAGCAUAGAUGGCGGGAGUACUUCGACAAGCUGUUCAAUGGGGAGAAUGAGAGUUCUACCAUUGAACUGAAUGACUCCUUUGAUGAGACCAGCAUGCGUUUUGUGCGGCGCAUCCAGGAGUCUGAGGUGAAGGAGGCUUUAAAAAGGAUGAAAGGAGGAAAGGCGAUGGGCCCUGAUUGUAUCCCCAUUGAGGUGUGGAAAGGUCUCGGGGACAUAGCGAUAGUAUGGCUAACCAAGCUUUUCAACCUCAUUUUUCGGGCAAACAAGAUGCCAGAAGAAUGGAGACGGAGUAUAUUAGUACCAAUCUUCAAGAACAAGGGAGAUGUUCAGAGUUGUACUAAUUACCGUGGAAUUAAGCUGAUGAGCCAUACAAUGAAGCUAUGGGAGAGAGUCAUUGAGCACCGCUUAAGAAGAAUGACAAGCGUGACCAAAAAUCAGUUUGGUUUCAUGCCUGGGAGGUCGACCAUGGAAGCCAUUUUCUUGGUACGACAACUUAUGGAGAGAUAUAGGGAGCAUAAGAAGGACUUGCAUAUGGUGUUCAUUGACUUGGAGAAGGCCUAUGAUAAGAUACCGCGGAAUGUCAUGUGGUGGGCCUUGGAGAAACACAAAGUCCCAGCAAAGUACAUUACCCUCAUCAAGGACAUGUACAAUAAUGUUGUGACAAGUGUUCGAACAAGUGAUGUCGACACCGAUGACUUUCCGAUUAAGAUAGGACUGCAUCAGGGGUCAGCUUUGAGCCCUUAUCUUUUUGCAUUGGUGAUGGAUGAGGUCACAAGGGGUAUACAAGGAGAUAUCCCAUGGUGUAUGCUCUUUGCGGAUGAUGUGGUGCUAGUUGACGAUAGUCGGACGGGGGUAAAUAGGAAGUUAGAGUUAUGGAGAUAA
RNAcentral lists this ribosomal RNA (1272 nucleotides) under Triticum aestivum (bread wheat). RNAcentral describes it as "partial small subunit ribosomal RNA". Lineage: Eukaryota; Viridiplantae; Streptophyta; Magnoliopsida; Poales; Poaceae. The record is from RNAcentral.